AGAGUUUGAUUAUGGCUCAGAGUGAACGCUGGCGGCGUGCUUAACACAUGCAAGUCGAACGAGAACGGAUUAUAGCUUGCUAUAAUUGUCAGCUAGUGGCGCACGGGUGAGUAAUGUAUAGAUAACCUGCCCUUAAGAAAGGAAUAACAGUUGGAAACGACUGCUAAUGCCCUAUAUGCCUUUAAUACAUAAGUAUGCAAGGGAAAGCUUUAGUGCUUAAGGAUGGGUCUGUAUGGUAUCAGCUUGUUGGUGAGGUAAUGGCUCACCAAGGCUAUGACGCCUAACUGGUUUGAGAGGAUGAUCAGUCACACUGGAACUGAGACACGGUCCAGACUCCUACGGGAGGCAGCAGUGGGGAAUAUUGCACAAUGGACGAAAGUCUGAUGCAGCAACGCCGCGUGGAGGAUGACACAUUUCGGUGCGUAAACUCCUUUUAUAUAGGAAGAUAAUGACGGUACUAUAUGAAUAAGCACCGGCUAACUCCGUGCCAGCAGCCGCGGUAAUACGGAGGGUCCGAGCGUUAAUCGGAAUUACUGGGCGUAAAGCGCGCGUAGGUGGUUCAGUCAGUCAGAUGUGAAAGCCCCGGGCUCAACCUGGGAACUGCACCUGAUACUGCUGAGCUAGAGUACGGUAGAGGGUAGUGGAAUUUCCGGUGUAGCGGUGAAAUGCGUAGAGAUCGGAAGGAACACCAGUGGCGAAGGCGACUACCUGGACCGAUACUGACACUGAGGUGCGAAAGCGUGGGUAGCAAACAGGAUUAGAUACCCUGGUAGUCCACACCGUAAACGAUGUCAACUAGCCGUUGGGGGACUUGAUCCUUUAGUGGCGAAGCUAACGCGAUAAGUUGACCGCCUGGGGAGUACGGCCGCAAGGUUAAAACUCAAAUGAAUUGACGGGGGCCCGCACAAGCGGUGGAGCAUGUGGUUUAAUUCGAAGCAACGCGAAGAACCUUACCUACUCUUGACAUCCAGAGAACUUUCCAGAGAUGGAUUGGUGUUCGAACUCUGAGACAGGUGCUGCAUGGCUGUCGUCAGCUCGUGUUGUGAAAUGUUGGGUUAAGUCCCGUAACGAGCGCAACCCUUAUCCUUAUUUGCCAGCAGUAAUGUCGGGAACUCUAAGGAGACUGCCGGUGCAAACCGGAGGAAGGUGGGGAUGACGUCAAGUCAUCAUGGCCCUUACGAGUAGGGCUACACACGUGCUACAAUGGCCGGUACAGAGGGCUGCAAACUCGCGAGGGUAAGCUAAUCUCAAAAACCGGUCGUAGUCCGGAUUGGAGUCUGCAACUCGACUCCAUGAAGUCGGAAUCGCUAGUAAUCGUGAAUCAGAAUGUCACGGUGAAUACGUUCCCGGGCCUUGCACACACCCCCGUC
RNAcentral lists this ribosomal RNA (1370 nucleotides) under uncultured Marinobacterium sp. RNAcentral's name for it is "partial 16S ribosomal RNA". It matches the Rfam family "Bacterial small subunit ribosomal RNA". Lineage: Bacteria; Pseudomonadati; Pseudomonadota; Gammaproteobacteria; Oceanospirillales; Oceanospirillaceae. The record is from RNAcentral.